UCGCUUGAACCUGGGAGGCGGAGGUUGCAGGGAGCCAAGCUUGCACCACUGGACCCCAGCCUGGGUGGCAGAGCAAGACUCCAUCUUAAAAAAA
Sapajus apella (tufted capuchin) is the source of this 94-nucleotide long non-coding RNA. RefSeq lists it as uncharacterized. The transcript is spliced from 2 exons. NCBI's taxonomy places the organism in Eukaryota, Metazoa, Chordata, Mammalia, Primates, Cebidae. The record is from RefSeq and is a predicted model, not a curated record.